AUCCCUGCCUGGCAGGUGAGACACCGUGACCAAGGAAGUAGUUUUCCCAGGGUGCACUGCAGAUAUGCUGGCCCUGGCAGUUUCUGCAGAGGUGAGAAACUUGGGUGCAUAAUCUGUGGCAGUGGGAGACUGUUCACCCUCUCCCC
Molecule: small nuclear RNA, 146 nt
Filed under: Jaculus jaculus (lesser Egyptian jerboa)
Lineage: Eukaryota; Metazoa; Chordata; Mammalia; Rodentia; Dipodidae
Description: U1 spliceosomal RNA (ENSJJAG00000008496.1)
Rfam family: U1 spliceosomal RNA
About the family: U1 is a small nuclear RNA (snRNA) component of the spliceosome (involved in pre-mRNA splicing). Its 5' end forms complementary base pairs with the 5' splice junction, thus defining the 5' donor site of an intron.
Source: RNAcentral